CAAUAGCGUAUAUUAAAGUUGUUGCAGUUAAAAAGCUCGUAGUUGGAUUUCUGGUGGGAGCGAUCGGUCUGGCGCUUAGCGCGAGUACUUGCAUCGUCUCCGGCCAUCCUUGGGGAAAGUCUGUCUGGCAUUAAGUUGUCGGGCAGAGGAUCCUCAUCGUUUACUGUGAAAAAAUUAGAGUGUUCAAAGCAGGCUUAUGCCGUUGAAUAUAUUAGCAUGGAAUAAUAAGAUAGGACUUCGGUACUAUUUUGUUGGUUUGCGCACCAAAGUAAUGAUUAAUAGGGACAGUUGGGGGUAUUCGUAUUCCGUUGUCAGAGGUGAAAUUCUUGGAUUUACGGAAGACGAACUACUGCGAAAGCAUUUACCAAGGAUGUUUUCAUUAA
Molecule: ribosomal RNA, 383 nt
Filed under: uncultured eukaryote
Lineage: Eukaryota
Description: partial 18S ribosomal RNA
Rfam family: Eukaryotic small subunit ribosomal RNA
Source: RNAcentral